GGAGUCUGCAGCAGCAAGGCAUCCCGGUCGGGGAUAUCGCCCCCGAUGUGAUAGGGCAGACCGCAGUUGGCGAAGCUGACAAACUCGCCCCGCUCGAACAUCACGAUCUCUGCCUCUUCACUCAAACGACGAGCGCGAGCCGCCGCCGAUGCGCCCCCCGCGACACCAC
Molecule: antisense RNA, 169 nt
Filed under: Aeromonas veronii
Lineage: Bacteria; Pseudomonadati; Pseudomonadota; Gammaproteobacteria; Aeromonadales; Aeromonadaceae
Description: Vibrio RNA AS7
Rfam family: Vibrio RNA AS7
About the family: Identified by direct cloning an parallel sequencing experiments with 5S/tRNA depletion. Confirmed by Northern blot.
Source: RNAcentral